CAGACCGCCUGGGCCGCGCUGCGCGCCGCCUCCCAAGAGCACAUCACCCGGCUCCGCGUGGCGGCCGUGUUCCACCGCACGGCGGACGAGCAAAUCCAGCGCCUGCGCCAGAUUACGUCCAGCCCGCGGCUGCGCGCCUCAUCCGUCUCCUCCUCGCCGCGAUCGUCUCCGUCCUCGACGUCCCACUCCUCUGAUGUCAUCGUCAGUCAGCUGAGCGAGCGCGAGACCCUGCUGCGAGAUGUGGGCCGCACGGUGCGCCUGGGGAAGCUGCUGCGGGAGCGGCUGCAGGAAAACCUCGGAGACAGGGAGCAGGACGCGAACGCCGCGGCCCGGGCGGCCAUCUCGGCCAAGCUGGCCGAGGUCGGCGCCUUCUGGCAGCGUCUGGACGCGCUGUGUCGCCAGUGGCGGCGCACGGCCGAG
This is a long non-coding RNA of Pollicipes pollicipes, 420 nucleotides long. RefSeq lists it as uncharacterized. The transcript has 3 exons. Lineage: Eukaryota; Metazoa; Arthropoda; Thecostraca; Pollicipedomorpha; Pollicipedidae. The record is from RefSeq and is a predicted model, not a curated record.